RNAcentral lists this ribosomal RNA (447 nucleotides) under uncultured bacterium. RNAcentral's name for it is "bacterial SSU rRNA". It matches the Rfam family "Bacterial small subunit ribosomal RNA", at positions 29 to 518 of the family's 1533-position model. The record is from RNAcentral.
AGCGAACGCUGGCGGCAGGCUUAACACAUGCAAGUCGAACGGGCAUAGCAAUAUGUCAGUGGCAGACGGGUGAGUAACGCGUGGGAACGUACCUUUUGGUUCGGAACAACACAGGGAAACUUGUGCUAAUACCGGAUAAGCCCUUACGGGGAAAGAUUUAUCGCCGAAAGAUCGGCCCGCGUCUGAUUAGCUAGUUGGUAGGGUAAUGGCCUACCAAGGCGACGAUCAGUAGCUGGCUGAGAGGAUGAUCAGCCACCAUUGGGACUGAGACACGGCCCAAACUCCUACGGGAGGCAGCAGUGGGGAAUAUUGGGACAAUGGGCGAAAGCCUGAUCCAGCCAUGCCGCGUGAGUGAUGAAGGCCCUAGGGUUGUAAAGCUCUUUUGUGCGGGAAGAUAAUGACGGUACCGCAAGAAUAAGCCCCGGCUAACUUCGUGCCAGCAGCCGC